Molecule: non-coding RNA, 202 nt
Organism: Otolemur garnettii (small-eared galago)
Lineage: Eukaryota; Metazoa; Chordata; Mammalia; Primates; Galagidae
Source: Rfam
UCGAGAAAUAGGGGUGGGGUAGCACAAAUCUCCAGCCACAGACUCUUUCUUCCCCAGGGCAAAUUCCCCAAUUAUGUUUUCCUGUCAUCGUUGCCUCCCUCUUGUCUGAGCUCAUCAACAUUUCAGCCAAAUUACUGUGCUGCUAAGUCACUGGGAAAAUCAGGACCCCACACCAAGAUGAUCAUCUUAGAAGUGCACAAAA